AUGCACGCUGGCGGCGUGCCUAAUCCAUGCAAGUCGCGCGAACAGACGAGGAGCUUGCUCCUCUGACGUUAGCGGCGGCCGGGUGAGUAACACGUGGAUAACCUACCUAUAAGACUGGGAUAACUUCGGGAAACCGGAGCUAAUACCGGAUAAUAUAUUGAACCGCAUGGUUCAAUAGUGAAAGACGGUUUUGCUGUCACUUAUAGAUGGAUCCGCGCCGCAUUAGCUAGUUGGUAAGGUAACGGCUUACCAAGGCAACGAUGCGUAGCCGACCUGAGAGGGUGAUGCGCCACACUGGAACUGAGACACGGUCCAGACUCCUACGGGAGGCAGCAGUAGGGAAUCUUCCGCAAUGGGCGAAAGCCUGACGGAGCAACGCCGCGUGAGUGAUGAAGGUCUUCGGAUCGUAAAACUCUGUUAUUAGGGAAGAACAAAUGUGUAAGUAACUAUGCACGUCUUGACGGUACCUAAUCAGAAAGCCACGGCUAACUACGUG
RNAcentral lists this ribosomal RNA (496 nucleotides) under uncultured bacterium. Its description in RNAcentral is "partial 16S ribosomal RNA". It matches the Rfam family "Bacterial small subunit ribosomal RNA", at positions 29 to 507 of the family's 1533-position model. The record is from RNAcentral.